This 601-nucleotide ribosomal RNA is filed under the name uncultured bacterium. Its description in RNAcentral is "bacterial SSU rRNA". It matches the Rfam family "Bacterial small subunit ribosomal RNA", at positions 338 to 961 of the family's 1533-position model. The record is from RNAcentral.
CCUACGGGAGGCAGCAGUGGGGAAUAUUGGGCAAUGGAGGAAACUCUGACCCAGCGACGCCGCGUGCGGGAUGAAGGCCUUCGGGUUGUAAACCGCUUUCAGCAGGGAAGAAGCGAAAGUGACGGUACCUGCAGAAGAAGCACCGGCUAACUAUGUGCCAGCAGCCGCGGUAAUACAUAGGGUGCAAGCGUUGUCCGGAAUUAUUGGGCGUAAAGAGCUCGUAGGUGGUUCGUCACGUCGGAUGUGAAAAUCUGGGGCUUAACCCCAGACCUGCAUUCGAUACGGGCGAGCUUGAGUAUGGUAGGGGAGUCUGGAAUUCCUGGUGUAGCGGUGGAAUGCGCAGAUAUCAGGAGGAACACCAAUGGCGAAGGCAGGACUCUGGGCCAUUACUGACACUGAGGAGCGAAAGCGUGGGGAGCGAACAGGAUUAGAUACCCUGGUAGUCCACGCCGUAAACGGUGGGCACUAGUUGUGGGGACCUUCCACGGUCUCUGCGACGCAGCUAACGCAUUAAGUGCCCGCCUGGGGAGUACGAUCGCAAGAAUUAAAACUCAAAUUGAAUUGACGGCUUGAGACGNGCGAGGACGACGACGAGGAGAGG